CAGAACGAACGCUGGCGGCAGGCCUCAAACAUGCAAGUCUAGGGGGUGUAGCAAUACAUCACCGGCGGACGGGUGCGUAACGCGUGGGAAUAUACCUAUCGAUUCGGAACAACUGAGGGAAACUUCAGCUAAUACCGAAUACGUCCUAACGGAGAAAGAUUUAUCGUCGAUAGAUUAGCCCGCGUUCGAUUAGCUAGUUGGUGGGGUAACGGCCCACCAAGGCGACGAUCGAUAGCUGUUCUGAGAGGAAGAUCAGCCACACUGGGACUGAGACACGGCCCAGACUCCUACGGGAGGCAGCAGUUGGGAAUCUUGGACAAUGGGGAAACCCUGAUCCAGCCAUGCCGCGUGAGUGAUGAAGGCCUUCGGGUUGUAAAACUCUUUCGCGCACGACGAUAAUGACGGUAGUGCGAGAAGAAGCUCCGGCUAACUUCGUG
This 437-nucleotide ribosomal RNA is filed under the name uncultured bacterium. RNAcentral's name for it is "bacterial SSU rRNA". It matches the Rfam family "Bacterial small subunit ribosomal RNA", at positions 25 to 507 of the family's 1533-position model. The record is from RNAcentral.